CCUACGGGAGGCAGCAGUGAUGAAUAUUGGUCAAUGGCCGGAAGGCUGAACCAGCCAUGCCGCGUGAAGGUCAGUGCCCUAUGGGCGUUAAACUUCUUUUGUGCGGGAGCAAUAAUGGUCACGUGUGGCCAGACGAGAGUACCGUACGAAUAAGCAUCGGCUAACUCCGUGCCAGCAGCCGCGGUAAUACGGGGGAUGCAAGCGUUAUCCGGAUUUAUUGGGUUUAAAGGGUGCGUAGGCUGUGAGGUAAGUCAGCGGUGAAAUGCCCCCGCUCAACGGGGUGAAGUGCCAUUGAUACUGCCUGGCUGGAAUGCGGAUGCCGUGGGAGGAAUGUGUGGUGUAGCGGUGAAAUGCAUAGAUAUCACACAGAACACCGAUUGCGAAGGCAUCUCACGAAUCCGCGAUUGACGCUGAUGCACGAAAGCGUGGGUAUCAAACAGGAUUAGAUACCCGGGUAGUC
This 460-nucleotide ribosomal RNA is filed under the name uncultured bacterium. RNAcentral's name for it is "partial 16S ribosomal RNA". It matches the Rfam family "Bacterial small subunit ribosomal RNA", at positions 338 to 795 of the family's 1533-position model. The record is from RNAcentral.